RNAcentral lists this long non-coding RNA (1037 nucleotides) under Cinara cedri. Lineage: Eukaryota; Metazoa; Arthropoda; Insecta; Hemiptera; Aphididae. The record is from RNAcentral.
GAGUGAACUAAGUUAAGGUUAGUGUAAAAUUUUAGAUUAUAUAAUUCCAAAAAGUUUUUCCACUAGUCAAAAUAUUAGGCCUUUCAUUAAAAAUUUGAUCGCUAAUUUCAGUUUGUUUUUGGAUGUGUGAUAUUCAAUUUUUUCCAUAGACCACGGACUACAUCAAUAUUAAUAGCAAAAAGUAAUUUAAAAAAUAGAAGACAGUAAAUAAUUGAUCAGGUAUACUUUUAACGUGAAAAAAAUGAGUAAUGCUUAGUAAAAUCGAAAAAAAAAAAAAAUAAAAAAAUACAAAUCCCUUAAUAUUUAUAUUUAUAUUUUCGACUUAUAUCUUCUGUACAAGUCAAACACUUAAAAAAAAUAAAUAUAUAUAUGUAUAGAUACUACAUACAUUAUAUUUUAAAUAAAAGUGUACUGGUUAUUUUGUAGUUUAGCAAAUACAUUUAUAUCAGGAACUAAGAUUCUUAUAAUUUAACCUUUUGUGCAGUUAGUUUGUUAAGCAAUGAUUGUAAGUGCAUCUAACAUAUCUGGGUUUAUUGUAAAUUUAAUUAAUUAAUAGCUUGCUAUUUGUUUAUUAACCCAUUGUUGUAAUCACGAUUGACAGUAAAAUAACAAUAUUGUGAAUAUAAAAAAUACAAUUUAAUUUUAAUGUGAAUAAUGAUUAAUUAUUGUAUUAUUUCAGCAGACCAAUUGGGACUAUUUUAAUAAUAUGAGAAAAAACUGAACAUCCUGACUUCCUCGCCCCAAAUGACGCCCCUGAUUGACCGUAAUACGGAUUUUGUAGAACAAAUAAAUCAUAGUCAGUAGGUGUAUACAGGUAUACUCCAUAAAACUAAUCAUAAUAUAGGUACUAACUAUGGAAGAUACAUACGAUAGGUUAGCAAUUUAAAAAUAUAAUAUUUAUAUUUUAGAUAUUGAUUGAUGAUUCAUUAAUAAAGUGAUUAUUGAUUGGUUUCAUUGUGAUGUAUAUACGUCACGAUAAUGAUGACGUUCGCACCAACUACGUUAAACGGCUAAAUAUUCUACAUACCAGCUACAGG